ACCGACGAAGCAAACCCUACUUGAUUUUCUGGAGAAUUUGUGGGCUGUGACAGACGCUGGAAUUCCUUUCGAAGCCAUCUGCAAGCCUGCCCCUGCAGAUGCACCCAAGCCUGUGAACAGUUAUCCUAAAUCAGACGAUGUAUGUUUGCGAUCAACUGCUGCUCGCACCUUUGCAAUCUUGAUGGGCCAUAUUGUUUCGUUCCGCAAUGUUGCAACACGAAAAUAUCAACUCCUGAGAAGCUUUUCUUCGUCUACCCAACGGGCCGAUCCGAGACAAAUGGUGCAAAAUCGUGCGUCGAGAUAAAGUGUCUCAAACAAGCAAACUUUGGUGCUGUGGAGACCAUUUCAUACUUGAAGAGGAUGUGGAAGACUGGACAAGGUUUAAUAUCUUAAGUGCAGCGGGCAAAGAUAAUUUCCGGCUGAAAUUGAAGAAAGGUGUUGUUCCCCGUAUUUUUGAUUGCCAGCCGGAUCGAGUGCAAGCCCAUUCUAAGGAGCUAAGGUCUGCCUUUCAAAAGCGCCAAGUACUAAGAGAGCUCAAGGAUGUCAAUUGGGAUACGAAUGCACGCGGAGAACCUUGAGCAAAUUUCCAGUCAUGAAAGUCAAGCUGAACUUGUGCAGGCCUCUGAUGAUAUCCCUGCCUCAAAAGUACCUGCAGUAGCACAAGCAAUGGCAACCCAAACUGAUGGAGAAGUUCCAGAGGAAAACCUGUGGUCGAUUAAUGAAGUUGCAGCCCCAGAACCGCCACCAGCAGAUCCUGUGUCCUCUCCAACUCCUCUUGAACACUCGCAGCUGUCAAGUGGUUCAUCUUUCAUGAGUUCCUCUUUCAACCACUCUGUUUUUGCUGACGCAGCAUGCCAGGUCAAACCUCACUUCCGCAGUAAAUGCAUUCAGGUACAACCCAAAACUGAAGACAAGAAAGUACAAACAAUGGGCUCCUGUAUGUGCUUCAGCAAUGUGCAGAAUGAAGAAAUGGAAAUUAGUUUUGAAGAGGACCAGGACGUCGAAUCGCAGUUGAAUAAAAGUAGUGGAAGUAUAUUUUCUUUAAAUUCUUCUGCUUUGGAUGCUGGCUGUGCGGAUGAAGACACCUCAGAAGAUGAUGAAAUGGCUUUAAACUACUUGAAGGCUUCAUAUUGCGACUCUACUUUGAGCAUCAUGGAGCUGCAACCCAGACUUUUCUUUGGGAUUGAUCCUGUAAAUAUGUCCAUUAUUUCUUUCCUUCAGAAUUACGGAAAGUUGUCAAAAUCAGAAAUAUACAUUUCAUUACGAAAGAUACGUUUGAAGGAGCCUAAUAGCUUGUUAUCGCUGUAUUUCAAUGUAAGUCCAAGCUCGAUUUCAAGAAGUAUUAACAAGGCGAUGCCUAUUAUGGCCACGUUCUUAAAGUCAUUUAUUUUUUGGCCUAAUAGGGAACUGAUUCAGAAGAAUGUGCCGCCAGCUUUUUUUCAAAGUAUUCAAAAGUAGAGAGCAUCAUCGAUUGCUUUGAAAUUCAAAUUCAGAAGCCAUCAGAUGCCGAGAAGCAAGCAGCGACAUGGUCUAGCUAUAAAGAUUGCAACACUGUUAAAUAUUUAAUCAGCAUGACCCAGAUGGCCUUGUCAAUUUUGUGUCUCGGGGCUACACAGGUCGAGUAAGCGAUCUAGCAAUAGUGAGGAAAAGUGGUUUCAUGGAUGUCUUAAGAGAGGGAACUGUGGUGAUGACUGAUCGAGGUUUUAAGGAAGUAGAAGCUGAAUUACGUAAAAAGAAAUGUAUACUAGUAAGGCCACCAAGUGUCGCCAAAGAUACUAAACACACAGAAGAAGAGGUCAAGCUGACAAAGUCAGUAGCAAGCCUCAGAAUUCACAUUGAAAGAGCCAUUAGACGGGUUAGAGAAUACAAAUUCCUUGAGCCUCACUCAACGAUAAAUCAUAAUGCCCUAGGUAUCAUCAAUCAUGCUGUCAACAUAGGUUGUGCUCUUGUUAAUUUACAAGGGCCAUUAAUCCGAUAGGCUGAUUACAGUUCCUUCGUCAGGGGUAAAAUUACAGUUCAGUCUGCUAGGCCCAGACAGCUCUCCAAUUUUAUGAACCAAUGAAUGCAUGUCAAUCCUGUCUUUUGACUUAAAGUCAAAGUCUACUUUGAAAGUAAUGAGAUAGUAGGUUUAAUUUUUUUUUUUACUCCACUUACACAUGCAUUAGCCGUACCUCAAAAAAUGAAGUUUCUAAGUUUACUGUGUUCGUUUGUAAGUUUACAGUUUUCAAUGAAAACCAAUAAAUCAAGUUUAAAUUUAAUUGUGUUGUAAUUAAUGUAUGAUUAGUAGAGCUUUAAAGCCUCUAAGUUGAAACAAUUUGUCAUCUCAAGAAGAUUCAAGAAAUAAAAAUGUGAUUUUAAUAAAAAAAAAAAAAAAUCGAAUUCUUUCAAUUUUCAUGUAAAUAAUCUCCUAAUAUUGAAAAUGGACCGAGUUGCUAUGAUAAAAAAUUGUGUCACUUGGGAGAAAGAAGUGUGGAAUCAGAGCGUGACUUUUGCAAACAAUUUCAUUUCCUCCAGAAUUUAUGGUAAAAUAUUAGAAAUAGAUCAAGAAUAAAAAGAAAAGAAAAAACCCUGAGGCAUUGUUUAUGCACAGGAAACAAAAUUUAAUCUCAAAACAACUCUUAAAACUCUGCCUGAUGAUUAAGACUUUUUCUGAGAUGAAUUAUCUAUACGAAAUGCCCUCUUUUUAGUUAUUUGCUCAUUCAUUGAUGAGCCUCUCGUUACUUCAGCUAUGGACACUCUCAAAGGUUUAAAGUCAUUUUUAGUGCUGGUGAUAGUC
This 2776-nucleotide long non-coding RNA is filed under the name Bemisia tabaci. Its description in RNAcentral is "lncRNA ENSSSA2NGG009838". Lineage: Eukaryota; Metazoa; Arthropoda; Insecta; Hemiptera; Aleyrodidae. The record is from RNAcentral.